RNAcentral lists this small RNA (3810 nucleotides) under Histoplasma capsulatum. RNAcentral describes it as "hypothetical RNA". The record is from RNAcentral. Lineage: Eukaryota; Fungi; Ascomycota; Eurotiomycetes; Onygenales; Ajellomycetaceae. RNAcentral also lists the same sequence under 1 other name.
UUACCCGACCAGCUCUUCCAAUGCGACCUGGCAGCAAGGCUUCUUCAACCUCCCACCAAUCGAUUACACUACGGAUAUGGAAAAUUUUGCUUCAGUCAUGGCUUCAAGAUUUUGCGCACCCAGCGCACAUGGGCGACGACGAAUGCAUGAGAGGGAGCAGGUCUACUCGAGGGUUUGGGGGGAUUGGGCUGGCAGACUGCAUGUAGCCUUAGAAAAAUAUGAAGAACAACAACAACAGCAACAACAACAACAAGGGUUUGGUGGCCGUACAGUGAUUGCCAUUGGCUAUCAAUUAGAUUCAGCGCUCGCCUGUAUGGCGGUUAGUGGAGAUGGUUUUUGCUAUUAGGACGCGGCGAGAAGUUUCGGACUCGCAAUUUGUCAGGAACAUGGGCAAAUCGCCUUCCUCGAUAAUGUUUUGAUCCAGUCCGAACUUAAACCAGGAUCGUAAGGACGAGUUCUCAAUUUCUCAUCGGGCAGCAACGCUGCCAUUUAGCCUUUUUAGUCUGUCCACGUUAGACCGUCGUUGGAGAAUCUGUGCUUCUUCGUUUCCAGCCUCUUCUCUGCAUAUAUCUACAACUCUUCGCGACGGAACCUGUUACAACCACAUUUGACGCGAUGCUCAUCUUCAUUCGGCAGAAGGCACCUUAGCAUAUCCCUCAUUCUCCCAGCAGUUCACCAUUGUUGGACAUGUCUGUUCCAUCCGCCUGAUGCGUUUUACUCGUCGCAUCUCAAUACGCUCUGUAUAGCCAGUCUUUAUCGCUUCUGGGUCAUCAAAUUGCAACACACUUUGAGAAACUCCUUAAACAACUUAUCAUCCUCUGGUUCAAAAUUUCCAUUAAGUAUCCUGUCGACGUCGUCGCCGUAUAGGUAAUUAAAUAGCGAGUAACGAUGCACAAAAUCUGCCACGUUGGCAAUACGGUAGUCGAAAUGAGCCGAAGACAUAUCGUAGAUGUCUCUAACCUUGUAAGCCAGCGCGCAGAAUACCAACGCAUCACACUUUAGUUUCCGCGGUUCUCCUUGCUUAUUUUCCUUGCGGUCUGUUUUCUCAAAUGCGAACUUCAUGAGAUUUUCCACCCUAACCGCCUGCUACCUAGGGAAGGGUCACAUCAUCCGGUUGUUGUCGUACGGCGUUGGCUGUCGCUUCGAGAACGUUGUGAAUCUCAAGCUGUAUCUUCCGCCGUGACACACUUUGCAGCACAUCACCCAACUCAAGGUCAAGAUCCUUAUGAUGCCAAAGCUUAGAUCCAAUCUGGUCCAGAUUUGACUGGCAUUCUAAGGAAAGUGAAACCAUUCUGGAAUGUGCGCGAUGUACAAAUCAGCAGCUUCCUGCCAGACAAAUUGUACUUUCGAAGCAGAGGGAAGAAAAAAUUCCUGGUGGACCUUGGUGAGGAUUACAAGUUCCGAGCAACGAAAUUGUCUGGCUGCUACAAAUUGCACCAACGAUCAUGAUUGGCUUACACCGCUUGACGGCUAUCUUUUCGUAAUCGAAGAAACGUCGCCGCUUCAGAUGGGCGCCAGUUUCUUUCCUUAUCUCCUCGUCCGUAGGUUUUGGCAAAAUUCGCGUGGUAUUGACAAGAUUAACCAUCCCCACAAGAGUUAGGGGUUGAGAAUAUGGUGAAGUCACGGAUAAAAGCUCUCUAAAGAAAAGAAAAAAAAAGGAAGAAAGGAACUAAAAUAAAAUCUAUCCUGAUCUCAUCAUGCUUUAUCUGGCCAGUAGGUCUUUAUGAUGUCCCUCUUGUUCACCUUCCCCAUUGCGUUCCGCUCGAUAUUAUCCACGAGUUUCAACACGGUAGGCACCUUGUAUGAGGCCAUUUCUUCCCUCAGUCGAAUACGUAGGGGGCUGAGUUCGAGCGCAGGAGUCUGGCCAAUGGAAAGUGAAAAAUUAGUCUGCUUAGCAUCAAUCAUCCGAUAUAUGCCCAGCGUGUGAGGAGGGGAGGAAGAUGAGUGAGAAAGUAAGAAAGAAAGAAAAGAACGUACACCAGACCUCUGCUUAACCACAGCCGCCACCCGCUGACCCCAUUCCUCAUCCGCAAGCCCGACAACCACGACCUCCUGAAUCUCGUCCAAUGCCAGCAUCUUCCUUUCCACUUCUAGCGCCGAGAUCUUGUAGCCACCAGACUUGAUCAGAUCAACUGACGCCCGGCCCUGGAUAUAAUACGCCCCGUUCGAAUCCCGCUUAGCAACAUCGCCCGUCUUAAACCACCCAUCCGCGGUAAACUCCUUCGCAGUAGCUUCCGGCCGUCUCCAAUAUUCCAGAAACACAUUAUCCCCUUUCACCUCAAUCAUGCCCGCCUCCUCCGUCUCCACCGCAACCACCUGGCCGGUUUCCUUAUUGGUGAGCCGAACCUGCACGCCCGGCAGCGGCCACCCAACGCUGCCAUCAAUUCUCGUUUCGAUAUCUAGCCCACAGCUAAUCCCCAUGCCGAUCUCCGUCAUGCCAUACCGUUCCAGCAGCACCUGGCCCGUAAUCUCCGCGAAUUUCGUCUUGAUGGGCGUGGGCAGGGCGGCCGAGCCACUGACAACCAGACGCAGGGCCUUCGUGCCCCUCCGUGCAUCCGGCUCCAGCUCCGUCGACCGGAUGUGCGCAUCGAAGUAGUCCACGAGCCGCGAGUAGACGGUCGGCACGGCGAAGAACAUCGUCGACGAGCCCCGAUCGCACCACCGCCUCCAGACCACGGCGGGAUCGAACUUGGUGUGCAUUUCCACUGUCGCGCCGGCGAGGAGUGUGGCCGUGAGCCCGUUGAUGAUCCCAUGCACAUGGUGCAAGGGGAGCACAUGGAUGAGGUGGUCUGCCGGGGUAUAUUCCCAGGCCUUGGCAAGGCACUCCGCUUGGAAUGUUAUGUUCUUGUGGGUUGUGACGCAGCCUUUGGGGUUCGAGGUUGUUCCGGACGUAUAUAUCAUCAAUGCGCGCCUGGAUUGGGGGAGGGAAGCGUGGAACGGUGGUAAGGGCACUAGAGAUUUCGUGCUGGCGACGAGAGGGAUUAGAUCAAAAAAGGGAAUAUCGGGACAAGCUUCUUGAAUGGCGGUUUUCAUAUGGCUGAAUGAGGGAUGGAGGAUGAUCAACGAAGGAUCCGAAUCGGUAAUGGUAUAUAUGAUUUCUUUCGUCGGAUGGGUGGUACCUGUUAUGAUUAAACCGGUUAGCUUUUCCAACGAGUAAGAAGUAAAAAGUAAAAAAAAAAAACAAAAAACAACAAUUGAAUAUCUCCUACACAAUGGCACGCAUACUCCGCCGGUAGCCCAUACAGCCCACUGACAAACAACAUAGUCGUAUCCCGCGGGUGUCAAAAACGCAAUGCGUCGCUCCUCCAAAUCCCCUGCCAGCUCCAGCUUCAAGGACCCCAGAAUCUGCAUCUUAAGGCACGAAACGUCCGCCAGGAGCUGGGCAUAGGUGAAGCUUUGGCCCUUGGCUGUGUCAAUGAUUGCGAGUUUGCCGGCAUCUUUCUGAGCGUGGUUCCGCGCAGCUAGUAGGAGAGGAAGCGAAGGAAUUGAGGUCGAUUUGUCGUUGUUAUUGCAGUUGUUCUCAUUAGUAUUAUUAUUACUAUCGGUCUUACUAUUACCAGAUUGUUGCCAUCGAUUCCGUAUGAAUUGGAAUGUGAAAUAUGGAAUCGAGAGUGCCGCGGCCGUCCAGAGAGUAAUGAGAGCCCAGUUAUGUUGACAGUCCCUGGAGGGACUGACCAAGGACAUUCUCGCCGUAGCUGUCGCUCUCGCAGCGGGUUUUUAAAGGAAUCGGAGCUGGAGGCAAGGAGCUGACACCCAAUUUCUCGAACUUUGACGUGCGUAUAGGCCGGGGGGCUGGGAGCUUGCUAUGGA